AGCACGUGGGGAACCUGCCCAUCAGAAGGGGAUAACACUUGGAAACAGGUGCUAAUACCGUAUAACAAUCGAAACCGCAUGGUUUUGAUUUGAAAGGCGCUUUCGGGUGUCGCUGAUGGAUGGACCCGCGGUGCAUUAGCUAGUUGGAUGUAGGUAACGGCUUCACCCCAAGGCCACCCGCAUUGCAAUAGCCGACCUGAGAAGGGUGGAUCGGUCCACAUUGGGAUCUGGAAGACACGGUCCCAAACUCCUACCGGGAGGCAGCAGUAGGGAAUCUUUCGGCAAUUGGAACGAAAAGUCUGACUCGAGCAACGCCCGCGUGAAGUGAAGAAGGAUUUUUCGGAUCGUAAAAACUUCUGUUGUUAGAGAAGAACAAGGAUGAGAGUAACUGAUUCAUCCCUUGACGGUAUCUAWCCAGAAAAGCCACGGCUAACUUACGUGCCAGCAGCCGCGGUAAUACGUAGGUGGCAAGCGUUGUCCGGAUUUAUUGGGCGUAAAGCGAGCGCAGGCGGUUUCUUAAGUCUGAUGUGAAAGCCCCCGGCUCAACCGGGGAGGGUCAUUGGAAACUGGGAGACUUGAGUGCAGAAGAGGAGAGUGGAAUUCCAUGUGUAGCGGUGAAAUGCGUAGAUAUAUGGAGGAACACCAGUGGCGAAGGCGGCUCUCUGGUCUGUAACUGACGCUGAGGCUCGAAAGCGUGGGGAGCAAACAGGAUUAGAUACCCUGGUAGUCCACGCCGUAAACGAUGAGUGCUAAGUGUUGGAGGGUUUCCGCCCUUCAGUGCUGCAGCUAACGCAUUAAGCACUCCGCCUGGGGAGUACGACCGCAAGGUUGAAACUCAAAGGAAUUGACGGGGGCCCGCACAAGCGGUGGAGCAUGUGGUUUAAUUCGAAGCAACGCGAAGAACCUUACCAGGUCUUGACAUCCUUUGACCACUCUAGAGAUAGAGCUUCCCCUUCSGGGGCAAAGUGACAGGUGGUGCAUGGUUGUCGUCAGCUCGUGUCGUGAGAUGUUGGGUUAAGUCCCGCAACGAGCGCAACCCUUAUUGUUAGUUGCCAUCAUUCAGUUGGGCACUCUAGCAAGACUGCCGGUGACAAACCGGAGGAAGGUGGGGAUGACGUCAAAUCAUCAUGCCCCUUAUGACCUGGGCUACACACCGUGCCUACAAUGGGAAGGUUACAACCGAGUUGGCCGAAGAUCGCGAGGCUAAGCUAAUCUCUUAAAGCUUCUCUCAGUUCGGAUUGCAGGCUGCAACUCGCCUGCAUGAAGCCGGAAUCGCUAGUAAUCGCGGAUCAGCACGCCGCGGUGAAUACGUUCCCGGGCCUU
RNAcentral lists this ribosomal RNA (1323 nucleotides) under Enterococcus faecium. RNAcentral describes it as "bacterial SSU rRNA". It matches the Rfam family "Bacterial small subunit ribosomal RNA", at positions 112 to 1382 of the family's 1533-position model. The record is from RNAcentral. Lineage: Bacteria; Bacillati; Bacillota; Bacilli; Lactobacillales; Enterococcaceae.